Molecule: non-coding RNA, 357 nt
Organism: Paramuricea clavata
Lineage: Eukaryota; Metazoa; Cnidaria; Anthozoa; Malacalcyonacea; Plexauridae
Source: the annotation of a GenBank genome assembly
CGCUGUUGUCAUGCAGUCGUUAUAAUCAGAGAGGAGAGACAUACAGAGCUGUAACUGACCGUUGUAAACACUGCAACCUCGUACCCAGGGCUUCUGCGCUUAUUGCUCUCAGAAGCCCUGGGAUAAUCCAACUCAGAACGUGAUUUGAUUGGUUAAUGCGAAUACAAUGAAAGUACCGGAAGUUAUUCAUUAACCGGGUGAUAUUUUGGCAACAUGGCUGCUAUCACAAGGAGUGUAUACAAAAGUUAAAUGCUGGUUUUUGCAUGAAAAUACUUUUUUAAGCCAAAUUCUGGGCUAUUUUGAAAAGAGCAAAAGAAGAAAUGGACUAUUUGUAUUUGUAAAUAAGCAAGAAUGGCG